RNAcentral lists this ribosomal RNA (516 nucleotides) under Chrysotus nr. longipalpis 85. RNAcentral's name for it is "partial 16S ribosomal RNA". The stretch from base 393 to 516 matches the Rfam family "Bacterial large subunit ribosomal RNA", at positions 2473 to 2596 of the family's 2925-position model. The record is from RNAcentral. Lineage: Eukaryota; Metazoa; Arthropoda; Insecta; Diptera; Dolichopodidae.
CAUGGCUUUUUGAUUUUAAUUUAAAGUUUAWUCUGCCCACUGAAUAAUUUUAAAGGGCCGCAGUAUAUUAACUGUGCAAAGGUAGCAUAAUCAUUAGUUUUUUAAUUGAAAGCUUGUAUGAAUGAUUGAACGAAAUAUAAACUGUCUCAAAUAAAAUUUAAUAAAAUUUUAUUUUUUAGUUAAAAAGCUAAAAUAUAUUUAAAAGACGAGAAGACCCUAUAGAUCUUUAUAUUUAUUUUAUAUUAUUUUAAAAAGAAUAAAUUUAAAUUAUAUAAUAAAAUAAUAUUUUGUUGGGGUGACAUUGAAAUUUAAUAAACUUUCAAUUUUUAUAAAACAAAAAUUAUUGAUUUUUUGAUCCUUUAUUAUUGAUAAAAAGUUUAAGUUACCUUAGGGAUAACAGCGUAAUUAUUUUGGAGAGUUCAUAUCGAUAAAAUAGGUUGCGACCUCGAUGUUGGAUUAAGAUUAAUUUUAGGCGUAGCAGUUWAAAUUAUUAMGUCUKUUCGACUUUUAAUUUCU